UCAUCAGAACGCUUCUGCGCAUUCGCAUUAGAGUGCACGCAUGCAGGAGCAAAGUGAGCGUGCGCACAUGGCCCUGUUGUGAACCGGUAGUAAAGACCAUCUAAGACUCUGGAUUGAGAGCAACAUUUCCGUCUUGGAUACAAGCCGCGUUAGAAGCUCCCUCCUGAAGAUUGGAGCUGCCAAACCAGCAGACACUGAACAUCUCAUUCUAUUAUUCCAAGGCAUUUCAGCACAGCAGCACCUGCAAUCUGGGAAAUGAAAAGAGAGAGAAAAAGUCCCUUACUUGGGGAGAAAAAGUUGAAAGAAGACAAUUAUCUCUGACUUGAGCAAGACAG
Long non-coding RNA from Pantherophis guttatus, 335 nucleotides. RefSeq lists it as uncharacterized. The record is from RefSeq and is a predicted model, not a curated record. NCBI's taxonomy places the organism in Eukaryota, Metazoa, Chordata, Lepidosauria, Squamata, Colubridae.